GACGAGGGGUCCAAGCGUUGUUCGGAAUUACUGGGCGUAAAGGGCUCGUAGGCGGCCAACUAAGUCAGACGUGAAAUCCCUCGGCUUAACCGGGGAACUGCGUCUGAUACUGGAUGGCUUGAGUUUGGGAGAGGGAUGCGGAAUUCCAGGUGUAGCGGUGAAAUGCGUAGAUAUCUGGAGGAACACCGGUGGCGAAGACGGCAUCCUGGACCAACACUGACGCUGAGGAGCGAAAGCCAGGGGAGCAAACGGG
RNAcentral lists this ribosomal RNA (253 nucleotides) under uncultured bacterium. RNAcentral's name for it is "partial 16S ribosomal RNA". It matches the Rfam family "Bacterial small subunit ribosomal RNA", at positions 524 to 776 of the family's 1533-position model. The record is from RNAcentral.